UUAACUAUUGUAGCACUGGAGAUUCUUGUAUUAUAGAAACAUCUAACUUUGGUGUUUAAUCUGUUGGAUUUAAUCUGACUUCAGUGAAAUAUCGUGGUAUUGCAUAUCAAUGGCCUAAAUAUCCAAAGUGAGAAAAAAAGGGUUUUCUUCUAUUGAUUUUGAAUUUGCAUCUCUCUAUUAUCACUCCUCAUCCUUGUGUUACAAAACAAGGAGAACAGAAGCACUAGAUCUACAUUCUCUAAACCAGCCGUGGUUUCACAAACUUUUAUCAUGUUCCAGAGGAAGCUGUGCUAUUGUUUUAUACAAUGCAAGUAGUACCACAGUACUUCAAACAGUUCUGUGAAAUGCAGUUCCUUCUAUUUCUGCUGUUAUCAUUUCCUAGGACAUUAGAAAAGAUCCUGAGUCCAAAAGGUUGGAUUAAGAUCUUCACUUCUUCAACAGCUGAGAUAAGCAUAUGCAAGAAAUUGUGUAGAGGAGUCCUAAGGGCAAAAAGAAAGGCGAUCUAUCUGGUGGCAGAAUGAAAACAUUACACAAUCUUGUGAAAAGUGUUCACUUUUACAGGACAUGAAUAUGAGAAGCUAUUUUGAGCUGAAGAGUCAAUAGAAGAGAUUUUGGAAGAAAUAGGAGAAAAUCAACAGGAUCUAAUGAUGAGGAUCAGAUGCUGUUUCUCCAGAUAGAAUUCAAU
Molecule: long non-coding RNA, 685 nt
Filed under: Calidris pugnax (ruff)
Lineage: Eukaryota; Metazoa; Chordata; Aves; Charadriiformes; Scolopacidae
Description: lncRNA (ENSCPUG00000017224.1)
Source: RNAcentral